AAUCCAUGCUGCUACAAAAGAAACCCGGGGCCUAAAGAGGUUAAGGGACAGGCAGAGGGUAGUAUGGCUUAGCCAUAGAAGUUUGUCUAACAGGAGAGAGGCCCCAGGCUUAUCCCCUGCACCACACAAGACAGACAAGAGGAAGGAGAGAGAGAGAGAGAGAGAGCAAAUGAAAGGGGGAGGGGGAGGAUGAAGAGGGGGAAGAGGAAGAAAGAAACUUGCUUGGCCUUCCAGAGUCUGAGCUUAGGAUCAGUACACCUCCUAAUAGGUGGCGAGGCCACCAAGCCACACACAGAACAGUAGAGUGACCUCCCCUAGCACUGGUUUCCACAAAGCAUGAGAUAGUCCAUCCAAAACAUACUAGACAAUGAAAGCAUACUCUCGGGCCCCAGUCCCUCACGCCUUUGUCUCCAGGAGGGCUCAUCCUUACUUCCUUAUUCAUCUUCUAUUUCCCCCAUCUCUGAUGGGCAUCUUACCAUUUUAUUAGCUUCCUGUAAGCUCCCUCCAGCAGGGUAUAACUAAACAAGCAGCCCUCCCAGGGCUGCCCUGGAGGAAUCACAUGCUGUGUGUGAGAGCACUCUGGAAACGGUCAAGUCCUGUAGCGAGUGCCAGUUGCAUAACCAGAGCGAGUCGCCCUAGGACUGGUGGUACUUAGAGUCCAUUCCCUUGGAAGGAUGUAGCCUCUCCCCUGGGCAGACCUGGGGCAGGUGGAAGGGUGGAAACAGAGAGGAGCACCCUCAUUCAGGACAGCCAAAACAGCCCUCGGUUUGAGGAAGGUGGAGGACACUGGCCACAGACCCUGUCGCCCACUGGCCUACGGCUAGGCAUUUAGUACAGACGGAGCAAAUGGGAGGUAUCUGGAGUCUGUGAAUAGCAGCAAGUUAUGAAUGCUGGCACUCAGAGAUGCCACAUUAAUAUUAAUGACAGCAAAUACCCCAGACAUCCCCAAAUCCAGUCAUGCCAUGGGACCCCCCUCCCCUGUUUCCCGUUAUUUUUGGAAAAAUGGCAGAAGUCUAUCGGGCAGAUUCUCCGGGUGAUCCCAUUCCUUUCUGCAGCCAGGACUGCCCUUGGCAUUUACCACAGACCUUUCUAGACCACAUCCAGCUAGGGUGCUUACAGAGUUUUCAGGGAAUUCCACAGCCAGAUGCACGGUCCCAGACAACUGGUUUGAACAAAGCAACAGCAAGAACAAACGGGGACUGGGUGAGACCAUGACACGGCAGAGAGAGGCGCAGAUCGUGGGCGCAGAAAACAGCAUGCACGGUGCAGUCUCAUUUUAGGAAAAAAGGACAGCCCAUUAAGGGGGGGCAUGAGAAAGCGGGAAGGCGUGUGCUGAGGGUCCAGGGUCCCUCGCAUGCCAUAGGUGCUACUUUCUAUUGUGGCUACUGCCCUGUGCUGUCUCCACAGAAGUACCUUCACGGUAAUAGCUCAUUGUGCGCGUCCCACACAUGCACGCACCCUGGGAACCAAGCCGACCCAUGACCAUGGGUCUCACGAGAACUAGGCAACAGGGCUUUCGAGGACACCACAUAUUCUCGGACCCCACACCCUCAGGGAAUCCAUGUUAUCAACAUGCUGGGGCUGCUGCCCCAUAUGAAUCAUCCUGAGGGCCUAGCCCAGGCUAGGCAACGUCAGGCCUUACUUAAUGGAUGCCUGUCAGCUGAAUAAUGGAUGUUUCCUGAGAGCAAUGCCUCAUGUCUCUUCCAGGGCCAAUGCACUGGGAAUGCAACUGUUCUCACUGACCUGCCAUCCCUCCUCUGCUUCACCCUCCUCUUAAGGGCUGCCAGGGAGGAGCUAAAAGAAAGGUCACCGACAGCAGAUGUUGGCAAGGUCCUCCACAUAAGAAGCCAUCAGGAGCUGUCUGCCCAGGGUGGCAUGGCAGUUCCUUUGACAAGCCAGCUGGCUAGAAAAGCUAGGGUCCCCCCUCACCCUGCUUCUCUGAGAAGGGAGUGAAGGAGAAGGAGGGGUCCACCCUGUUACUGCUGGCUAUACACUCCUGCUGUCCAGGCCCACAAGGGCGGAGGAGUCUAGAGCAGGGAAUUUGGCUUGAUUUUUUUUUUCCUGUGAACUGGGGCUGGGACUCGUUCUGUCAUGGCUCCAACAUUCCCUAUUCCUGACCUUAAAAAUAUGAACAAUAACAUCAAUAACAAGGAGGACCAGUCAAUGUGCACUGGGGUCCUCCCAGACGUGGCAGAAGUCACUUACACCAUCUCCUUUAGUCUCCACAGCAACUCUGUGAGAGUGAAAACAUUAUUAUUUUCACAUUAGUGAUAAGGAAACCCAGUCACGGAGAAGAAGGUGCCCAAGCUUUGCUUGUUGCUGGAGAAAGAGAGACUCAGCCCAGACAACCGUUCUUCCCUCUUGUCCCUACUGGAAGAGCCUCUUGCUGGGUUUUGCCAGUGGCACAGGGCGAUCGGAGCUAACAUCUGUGGGGCUCUUUAGACGGCACCAAGAGUUUACAUUCCCAGAUGCCUGCAGACAAAUGUGGAAAAGCCAGGAGGAAACAAACUUGCACAAGCCCCCACAGCUACAACACUUGCAUUCGAACCCAGGUCCCGGGCUUGAGUCUUCCCCAUUUUACACAACCCUUCUGGCCCACAGCCAGAUCUCUCUGAGCCCUGGGCUCCCUGCGUGCAGCCCUGCAGAGGGUGCUGCCUCACCAACUCUCCGCGGUGACUCACUCCGAGGCCCAGGGGAAGCACGGCCCUGUUUGCCGCGCCUCCAGCUCCCCGCCUCCACAUUUGCUAACCGAAACCCGACUGCAGCUAUUUUUAACCCUCCAGCUCCCCCUUGCUUGGGGCUCCCCCCUUUACCCCCACCCUCUUGCCCCAACCCGGUGGCACCACUCUGUCAUUCUGAGAGCACUUCUACAACCUGAAGGCCCCGGAGGGCGCAGCGGAUGCCCCGGACGUGCAGCAGAACUGUAGCACCCCGAGGUCAGAGGUCUGCCUUUGCUCUCGCCGCGCAUCUGUGCCCAGUGUGUGACACGGAGCUCUGCAAGUCUACAACAAAUGGAUGAACUGCCGAGUGACCAGCUUGGCAAAUGACCUUCCCUGGCUGCCAGUGUGAUUCUUGAGGGUUCUAAGGUUUUCCCACACAGGAAGAAAGAGGGGAACAAGAACAAGGCCAGAAAGGCUGGAACCCCAAAGGAAAAAUUAAUGCCACUCAGAGGUCAGACAUCUAUCUACACCAGCCAACCCCACCUGGUCCCCUUCACCAAGCCGGACAUGAACAUACACACACAGGUGCCCAUACUAAGUCCUGGACCGGUCUUAGGAAGCUUGCACUGGGUCUUGGGUUCUUUCUCUAAAGAGCCCCAUGACCUCAGAUGCACCGCAUACCCUUCUGCAGGUCUAUUCCACAGAAAUAAACAAAAAGGCUAACUCAGGCGUGCACUGCUCAGCACCACAAUCACCCACCAUGCAAGGUAUCCCCCUCAACUCCUACAAACUCUAAAAGAUGGUGGGGACGGGGCCUGAGGGUGUUUUUAAACACAUUCUUCACAGGAUCCUGAAGCAAUUGGUCCAGGAACUGGCGUUAAAGACUAAGGACAGAUGCUAGACAUGGUGGCGGUACCUGCCUUUCACCCAGCCCUGGGAGGCAGAGGCAGGUGGAUCUCUGAGUUCAAGACCAGCCUGGUCUACAGAGUGAGUUCCAGGACAGCCAGGGCUACAGAGAAACCCUGUAUUAAUACACAAGCAAACAAACAAAUAAAUGAAGAAAGGAAGGAAGGAAGGAAGGAAGAAAGAAAGAAAGAAAGAAAGAAAGAGAGAGAGAGAGAAGACAAACCAUGGACAGUGCUUUUACAGGUCAAGAUCUGGACAGGUGAGAAAAAGCUAACGCCUACAUAGGUACACUUCCCCUAAAACCUCUCCAUAGGCUCUAUAUGCCCCACACAGAGCCAUAACUUACGAAGGUGCACAUGACACUGGAGACACACAUCUGCGCCACAUGUGCUCAUACCCCCAAACACCCAACAGAGCCAGCACAUGGACCACAGAUUGCCACAGAACCACCACAUCGACACACACACAGCCCUGGGCAAACACAGACACCCACUACACACCCAGUGCAUACACGCAUAUCACACGGAGGCUCGCACUAAACAGAUGCUAGCCUGAAUUUAUUUUGCCUCUGGGAACAAGUCCAGAACUAAAGGAGCCAUGCUCUGCUGAUGAAAACAUCCCUCCUGCCUCCCCACCCCUUGCCCCAGGCAGUGCUGUCCACCACCCCUUGAAAGACGGGAAGAGGGCGGUGGAGAGAAGGAUGGGAUAUGAGGAGGCAGAGGCUAAGGUUGGUGUUUCAAUCUGCUUGGAGACAUCCCCAAAUCCAGCCCAGUUCUCUUCCCUUGCCCACCAGGAGACACUAUAGGGCCCCAAGUCAGUGCUCGGUCAGGCCAGUUGACUGGAUUCCCAGGCCCUGGGCCUACAGAGUGAAAAGGCUAAGGGGAGAUGUGGGGGCUCCCAGUACGUGGGCCACUAAGGAAAGGGCUGUCUGGAGCGCCUUCCUGCAGCCCUAAGGCCUGAGGCCUCCAUGGAAUGUUACCACGGAAACAGGGAAAAUAUUAUAAGGAACACAAUACCCGGUAGAGUCACCUGCUCACCAGGCUUCCUGCUGUGUUACCCACCCCACCCCCCCCCAUCUCGGGGCACUUAGAGCCUUCACUAGGCUCAACCUGGGCCUCCCAGCCGGAGCUCUCCUUCCUGUCUCUCCUGGAUUAGGGAAGCAGCUACAAGCGAAAGCUCUGCCCUUCUGUGGUUCCAAACAACAUCAGGGAUGGCCCAGCGGGCCCCUCACUCCUGGUCCCUACCCACCGCCCAACACAGGAAGUCAAGGCUUCCUGCCCCAGAGGAAGUGCCCCAUCUAGUGAACAAAUCCAACAUAUACAAAUUCAAAGCCCCGGAGCUGGCGCCUCCAAGGGGACAUGCCUUGGAGCUCUGCAGUAUACCCCACAGUCCCCUGCAACCUCCAGACCACAUCUGACCAAGGAAGAACUCAGGCUGGCAGAGGCCGGUCUGGUUGGUGCCAUCACCUGGCUGGGUGAUUCUGGGCCUUGCAUUAUUAGCUCAUCUUUCUCUGGGGCUUCUGUCAACUUUAAAACUAUCAGUUCUUAAGGAAAGGCAAAGGGCAAAGAAGGCAAAAAGGUUUUCAGAGGUUUCCAUAUUCUCAACCCCGGGAAGUGUGCCUACAGGUAUAAAAGGGUCCGAGUUCCCCAUCCUAGCACGGCUGAGCCACCAGGAACCAUAGUUGAGAGCCGUUAUCCCCGAGACAAGGAUGUUCUACCUGUUCCCUUACUCCCUGCUCAACACUGACUGAUUAUUUGUGGUUGGUCCCUCCAGUUCGGAGCUCUGGAAAAAGUGAACUGAGACACCCCUCACCCCAUGCCCGCCACCCUGUCAUGUUAAUUUUGAAAAAAAGUAUACGUAAGCAAAGGUGACCUGCUUAGAAGAGAAACCUCUUCUGCCUCAAAGCUCAGCUUAUGCCCCUGAGACACAGAAAAAUGCCCCAGCCAAGGACUAAACUGAGCAGCGGGGAGGGGGGGGGGGUUUCAGAUGCACCCUGUACCCAACCUUUCCACAGCACAGCUCCGAGUAUCUAGCUUGGAGAACUAAAGACAGAGACACGAGCCCCAGCCCCAUCAGGUUUCAGGACCUGGCCCAAUCUCAGUUAUCUGGGUAUCACACGGUGGGACUGCCCUGUGCCUCAGUUUCCCCCAGGAAUGACUGUAAAGAAAAGUUCUUAGUUACGGAGGGGAAACGGCAGGAAGCAGAGUGUGAGGAGGUAAGAGUGGAGGAUGAUUUGCAGUUGCUGGGAAGGUGCAAGAGCGUUGGCACAGAGGGGAGGCACAUAUGGCAGCCUACUGGGGUCCUUUCGGGAAGAAAUGGGUCACCUAAGUACAAGUUAGAGGAUGGAAACCAAUUAAAGUCACAGUCGGCAAUGGCUGGGCCAGAAAUUUGAGCAAAAUCUCAUAAGUCUAGGUAACAAGUCUGGAGGACUAGCUCCGGAUUCCAGAUGUUGCGCUCUCUCCAGGGCCACCAAGGGCCAAUGUCCUAUUAUCACCCUAAAAAUUUGGCAGGCAGAAACUGGGCCUCAAGCAGAUGCUGAGUUGGGAUGAGGGAAGGGAUAGUUAGCAGCAAGCCAACCGGCGCCAGAUGAUGCAGGAUGCUUUGGGGGAAUGCUGGACAGCUAGCAUUGACAGUUAAAGGACCCGGAUGGUCAGCCACAGGAAACCCUUGCAGAGGCAGGAUAAGCAGCCACCUACCAUGAAGAAGCCAUCAUCAUCCAAAAAGAACCCACAGUUCAGAAGGAUGCCCACAACAGCAAUGGACGCCAGCAACGUGGGCAACAGAGGAGGUAGUGGCUUACAGAGCGGGCUCCACCAGUUCAUCAGGCCAUUGAGUGUUGGAUCAAGGAAGGCUGGAUCAGAAUCACUGGUCCCUUGGGCCCUGGUUAUCAGAGGAGAGGCUUAACGAGUUCCCGACGAAUGCACAAAGGCUGAACUGCAGGAGAGUUAGCCUUCGCUCCAUCCCCUCAACACCUACCUACGUUUUGGAGGAUACCUGGCGAGGGACCUCAGCAAAUCGUUUGUUGAUUGGUUGGUCGGUUUUGAGAAAGCCUCUUUGCACAAAGUUCCGGCUAUCCUGACCCCUGGAAUCUUCCUGCCCUGCCUCUGGAGCAUUGGAAUUACAGACCUGCGACACUUUUAACACUCGAUGCUUAUUGUGGAAAAGUUGCUAUUUCCGAUGCUCACAGAAGUGGGCAGCCAUGCCAUGUUAACCCAUCCACACGUUUGGCUGGAUCUAUGGAAGCCCUACUUUGUUCCAGUCUGGUAAACAAGCUCAAAACACAUGCUGCCCUUUCUUCUACGGCGCGGUGAAAGUGUUCAGUCCUUGCUUUGGAACUCAGGUACUUCCUACUCUGGCUAACAGACCUCCCCGUUGCCUGGAAAUCAGCUCUCGUCUUUCCCCCCUGACCAACCGGUUAUCACGGAACAGGCGCAAAGCGCUUUCUGAAGAAGGUCGUUCCUGGUAACCCUCCAUCUCCACGCCCCCGUGACCUAUACCAGGAUCUCUCCGGCAGCAUCUUCAUAUUCAACAUUCUCGUAAUAUUUUGUUUUCCUUUAACUCUCAUGGGAGAGAAGUCUAUCCUUUUUACUGCAACUCCCUGUGCCUAGCCCAGUGUCUGGCCAUAGUAGAUGCUCAGUUAAUCAUUACUGAGCGUGUGAAUAAGUGAACACACGUCAGCUAGACAGCAGGAGGGAGGCAUAUGUCUGUCCUUUGGGCCUUCAGACUAGGCAUUCCUGGCCAUAGGCCACUAGUUUGUCCCCUGUGCACACAUGGUCCAGGCUGAGUCAGGGCUCUGUUCUUUGGGUUUUAUCACCAAUUUCUUCAAGAUCACAACAACUUCCUUCUCAGUGUCUCCUCCCUUUGGGUUACAGCCUCCAGCCUCCAAAGUCAACUCAGGCAGAAGCAUAUAUUAGUCCCCAAGGAUUUGUGCCUGCAUCGGAGGAACUCAGGAGACUGGAAAGUUCAUCCGAGGUCACGCAAGAACAGAGCCUGAGUAUUAGGAACACCCAAGUCCCAUGAAUAAGCUGUGGAACCCUGCUCAUCUGGUUCCUCAGAAUCCUAUGAAUCACCUUGGCCUGCAUAAGACAAAGCCACAUGUGUCAAGCGACCCCUCCACAGGCCUUCUGGGCUGUGCAAACCCAGCAAAGUGAACAUUUCCUUGUCACUUCUCUCGUUCAUUCCUCCCCCAGACUUCCCUGCUGGCUCUGAGAAGCUCUCUGUCAUUCACAGUCCCCAACGUGUCCCAGGUCCCUCAGCUCCUCCCUGCCAGGCUCCGUACCCGGGGAGACAAUGCAGAUGGCCAUGAGAAGGACAUGCUCUUCCUCAUUGAUUACUGAAUGCUGGAUGCAAGAGGAUCAAUAAACAGAGCUUCGCCAGGGAUGUCUGCCCCAGAGCUUGCCAAGUAGUCCGACACCGACAGAGUGUGCCCUUGUGAUGGACUCUGGAAGACAUUUUCACAGCACAGAGAAGGCCAGAGAGGACUGCACCCGAUUGACUGUACUCCAAAGUGUCAGGAACGGCACCCAUAGCACGCAGGUUCACAGAAUAACCCAUGAAAGCCGACCUCUUCGCUGUAAACACUCCUCAUCAAAAUGUUUCCAAGACAGACUGACCUGUGCGGGGCCACCUGAGUAACCAAAAGCUUUUCUCAGAUGACGCUUCAGACUCUGCAGACGCAGGGACGACCCCAGAAUUGUAUGCUCUGUGGUCUUUGUGUGACUUGACAUGGGCUUCUGUUGACAUCUCUGCUAGGUUACAUAUUGUUUCUGAUUAUCAGUGCUUGCUUUUAGAAGUAUGGCUUCUUUUCUUUUUAAAAUUAUUAUUACUAUUAUUAUUUAAAUUUUAGGAGUGAUUUUCCUGCAUCGUGCAUCACAUUCAUGUCCGAUGCCUGCAGAGGCCAGAAGAGGGCGUCAGAUCCCCUGGAGCUGUAGUUACAAGCAGUCCUGCCAUGUGGGUGCUGAGAACUGAACCUGUCCUCUGGAAGAACAGCCAAUGCUCUAGCCACUGAGCUGUCCCUCCCACCCCAUGUGUCUUUUUCUUUUGAGACAGAGUCUUGCUCUGUAUCUCAAGCUGUCCUGGGAGUCACAUAUAAGCAUCCUUUAGGUAAGUAUCACCCGUAUCCCUUCUUUGAAGAAGAGGAAGCAGAGGCCCAGAGAGGUAUGUGGUGUGCUCAGGGUAACACAGCUAACAGUGGGAGAGCCAGGGUUCAGACCUGGGCAGUCUGGUUCUGGAAUGAAUGGUGAUGCCCACAGUCCGUCUGCCUCCAACCGAACCCAGCUGAACAGCUCAGGGGAAUUCUGCUUCUCAGACUUGGAGUCCUGACACAAAGUGUCCCAGGUGAAGCUAAAGAGUAUGAACCGUUAAAGGGACAAAGACUGUCACCGGCUUACAGGAAGAAGGCAAAGACGACGGGAGUUAACCUUCAGAGGCAAGCAGCACGCCUCAGGGUGAAAGACCAGGGUGGCUUGCCAAGUCUGACGCCCUGGGCUCAGUACUUGGGACCCACAUUGUGGAAGGAGGGAACUGACUCCCCCUAGCUGUCCUCUGACCUCCACAUGUGUGCUAUGACAUGCCCCAGCUUAAACAAACAAAUAAACAAGA
This is a non-coding RNA of Rattus norvegicus (Norway rat), 9167 nucleotides long. The record is from RefSeq and is a predicted model, not a curated record. Lineage: Eukaryota; Metazoa; Chordata; Mammalia; Rodentia; Muridae.